Caerostris darwini is the source of this 101-nucleotide non-coding RNA. NCBI's taxonomy places the organism in Eukaryota, Metazoa, Arthropoda, Arachnida, Araneae, Araneidae. The record is from the annotation of a GenBank genome assembly.
ACGGCCGUACCAUACUGAAUAUACCGGUUCUCGUUAGAUCACCGAAGUCAAGCAUCAUUGGGCGCGGUCAGAACUUGGGUGGGUAAUUUGGGAAUUGAAUG